UCUACUACAGAACCUUAAUCAAGGAUCACAAAGGAUCACAUGAAGUUGUCCAACCUACAUCUUUAUCUAUCAGUCAAAGCCACCGGAUCGAGAUGUAAUUCAAUCACCAUGGCAAACUGUAUCCUCAAUAUAUUAUUAUUCUACUUGGAUGGUAUCUCCAAAUCAACUUAGAAACCGCUUUAUAUACUCUUGUUAAUUUCAGUAAGACUCCCUACCCCAUUCGCUCUCUAUUAAUCCCAACUAGUUUUCACAUACAUCGCCAGCGGUCAUUGCUAGCUAACCUGAUGUUGGUGUGACAUUGAUUAAGAGCCUCAACCAGAUCUUUCCUGAUGGCAGCCCAGCUAACAUGCCUCAUUGCUGAUAUCCUAAAGCUAGCAGAUCCAAGUAAAUCCAUGCCAUAAACCAUAAAUUCUACAACUAUAUUUAAUUCCAACAUCAAAUUUUUAUUCUUUCAUAAAAGCUUUGCAAGAAUUAAUUAAGUUAGAUCUAGCUACCCAUCACCUAUGGUACAAUGAUCAAGGGUCCUCGCUUGAAGCCACACAGCCUACAUCUCCAUCUAUUCGUUAAACCAGACA
This 575-nucleotide long non-coding RNA is filed under the name Sorghum bicolor (sorghum). RNAcentral's name for it is "long non-coding RNA (SBIC_LNC015344)". The record is from RNAcentral. Lineage: Eukaryota; Viridiplantae; Streptophyta; Magnoliopsida; Poales; Poaceae.